UUUUGUUCAACUGCGCUUGUGUUGAACUCAACCAACAGUGUUACAUAUAGGGUAGUCUACUUGCUUAGUUGAAGAUAGCAGUGGAAGAUGGUUUCUUUAUAAAAACAAGCAAAUGGUAAAUAGUAGCCAAUGGUCAGUACAAUCUAGUCAUCAAGUCAGCAUGAUGGAAUAAUGGAAUAGGCAAGAUGGAACAUCAAAACGUAUUGUUUUUAUUCACUGUCACAUACCACCUUAAAGUCAAAACUCAAAGACACUGUGCAACUAGCAUGGCAUUCAAAGCAUCCCCACCGCCAAAAUAAAUAAGAACAUCCAUAACUAUUUAUUAGACCUUCUGGUGCUGAAGAUGUAGACAAGGGCAAAACUCUUUAAUAUCCUCAGCCCCUUCCCUUCUUUUUCUGUGCACUUUUUAAAAAGCUUAGCUCAACUAACUCCAUCUGUCUCGCAGGAUUCUUGUACACGUUCUCCCACUUCCAAUUCUCAGAUCAUGUUGAAACUUUGCACAAUUAUUCAUUGUCGAUGACAACACAUGAAUCAAUAAAAAAAAUAAACAAUUA
Biomphalaria glabrata is the source of this 554-nucleotide long non-coding RNA. RefSeq lists it as uncharacterized. The transcript is spliced from 2 exons. The record is from RefSeq and is a predicted model, not a curated record. NCBI's taxonomy places the organism in Eukaryota, Metazoa, Mollusca, Gastropoda, Planorbidae.